Molecule: long non-coding RNA, 924 nt
Organism: Harmonia axyridis
Lineage: Eukaryota; Metazoa; Arthropoda; Insecta; Coleoptera; Coccinellidae
Exons: 3
Source: RefSeq, a predicted model, not a curated record
AGUCUAUAGUUCAGAAUCGAAUGUAAUCCAUAAGGUAUAUAUUCGAACUACUUAUGUAAGAUGUUAAUUAUAAAAUGUGUGCAUUUUGGUUGAGCAGGUUUUAGUAAAAAAAAUCAAUAAACAAUUAUAUCUGAGAAAAUUGUUCAAAGCUACGAGUCAUUGUUGAGAGACCAGAUAAGUAGAUUUUUUUUUAAUUUAUCUGUUAUGAUAAGAUCUGGAAUAAAUGUGAUCGAAUCAUUCAAAAUUGUGAUUAUUCAAUACAAAUGUAAGAAUCAAAAAAUAACUUAACCUUGAGCUGUAUGAAGAUACUGAAUGAAAGUCAAGAAUAGAACUCGUAAAGAAUACAAAUUUCAGACUGAGCUUCAUUUCCACGUUUAUCUAAUUAAUACUAAUAUUUUUCAAACUUCGAAACGAUCAAAAUUAUGAUUUCAUAAUAAAAAUAUUUCGUAUCAUUAGCCACUAUGUCAAAACAAGAAUACCCGGUGGCCUCUAAUACGUCCUCACAGAAAAGGAUUACUCCAUAAUCGAUGACAUAAGAUCAAUAUCGAUGACAGGUGGCUCACAGCACCUUCAGCUUGACCUGAAGCGUUCACAUUUUUAAAAUGUUAAUUUAUCCCAUGAAGCAGAAAAUGAAGAUGAAACUCAUACAGGGCCGUCGUACCGUUGUUUCAUUUAUUCUGACUUCUUAAAUGUCAGUCAAAUCCGAACAGGCUAUUUUAGUGAAAAAUUCAAUAAUAACUGAAUAAAAUAUUCAGUGAUGUUUAUUGUGCAUGUAAAUUCAAAGAGGCCGCCAAAAUGUUAUUUCACGUCAUCAGUGACGUCCCUUGAAAGUAUCAACACUCAAGUGCGAAAUUAUUAUCUUUUUGUAUUUUUAUUAAAAUAUUUAGAUGUAUAUGAGUAUGUAAUUAAUACGACAAUACAACU